RNAcentral lists this long non-coding RNA (473 nucleotides) under Gossypium raimondii (Peruvian cotton). Its description in RNAcentral is "long non-coding RNA (GRAI_LNC003038)". The record is from RNAcentral. Lineage: Eukaryota; Viridiplantae; Streptophyta; Magnoliopsida; Malvales; Malvaceae.
UUUAAUAAUGGCAUGCUGAGAGUUUUUGAGAUGUUAGGUGGGUUGGGUUCUUCUUCCUCCUUUUUCUUUGAGUUCAUGCCUUUUCGGAGCACAAGCAUUUGAAUAUUGGUAAGUAAUAAGUGUUCAUAUUUUGUUUUACCACCAAUUAUCCAAAUCAAAUUUGAUUGUUUUCAGCGACAAAAUCCACUUUUUUUGACUCACCAGAGUCGACAACAACACAUCAGAAUCCAACUAUACUUGUAAUCCAAGGAAGAAGAAGAAAUACAAACCUGGUGAACUUGUCAUUUGGGGAGGAGAGUAAUAAUAAAACUGGAAAUUAAUGUUAGGAGAAAUCAAUGGAUUUUGUACCACUGGCAAUAAUUAAAGAGUAGGAUUAAUCUUUUUUAUUUGCACUUCAAAUAUUAGGGUUGAAAUUUUAUUUAUUGUUAAUUUAUAAUAUAUACUUAAAAAUUUUGUAUUUUCUUUCUCCACCC